CGUGUAGGCGGUUGGUCAAGUCUGGUGUGAAAGCCCGGGCUUAACCCCGGAAGUGCACUGGAAACUAGCCAGCUAGAGCGCGAGAGAGGAGGUGGAAUUCCUGGUGUAGCGGUGAAAUGCGUAGAUAUCAGGAGGAACACCGGCGGCGAAGGCGGCCCUCUGGCUCGUUGCUGACGCUGAAACGCGAAAGCGUGGGGAGCAAACAGGAUUAGAUACCCUGGUAGUCCACGCUGUAAACGAUGGGUACUAGGUGUUCGGGGUAUUGACCCCUGAGUGCCGACGCUAACGCAUUAAGUACCCCGCUGGGGACUACGGCCGCAAGGUUAA
Molecule: ribosomal RNA, 327 nt
Filed under: uncultured bacterium
Lineage: Bacteria
Description: bacterial SSU rRNA
Rfam family: Bacterial small subunit ribosomal RNA
Source: RNAcentral